Molecule: ribosomal RNA, 497 nt
Filed under: uncultured bacterium
Lineage: Bacteria
Description: partial 16S ribosomal RNA
Rfam family: Bacterial small subunit ribosomal RNA
Source: RNAcentral
GAUGAACGCUGGCGGCGUGCCUAAUACAUGCAAGUCGAGCGAACAGAUGAGGAGCUUGCUCCUCUGACGUUAGCGGCGGACGGGUGAGUAACACGUGGAUAACCUACCUAUAAGACUGGGAUAACUUCGGGAAACCGGAGCUAAUACCGGAUAAUAUAUUGAACCGCAUGGUUCAAUAGUGAAAGACGGUUUUGCUGUCACUUAUAGAUGGAUCCGCGCCGCAUUAGCUAGUUGGUAAGGUAACGGCUUACCAAGGCAACGAUGCGUAGCCGACCUGAGAGUGUGAUCGGCCACACUGGAACUGAGACACAGUCCAGACUCCUACGGGAGGCAGCAGUAGGGAAUCUUCCGCAAUGGGCGAAAGCCUGACGGAGCAACGCCGCGUGAGUGAUGAAGGUCUUCGGAUCGUAAAACUCUGUUAUAGGGGAAGAACAAAUGUGUAAGUAACUAUGCACGUCUUGACGGUACCUAAUCAGAAAGCCAUGGCUAACUACGUG